Arabidopsis thaliana (thale cress) is the source of this 264-nucleotide long non-coding RNA. RefSeq annotates it as other RNA. Lineage: Eukaryota; Viridiplantae; Streptophyta; Magnoliopsida; Brassicales; Brassicaceae. The record is from RefSeq. The transcript has a single exon.
CUCUCUUCUGCUUCCUUGUGAAACGUUGCAGCCUUAUUCUUCAUCCUCUGUGCAUACUCUGCUUUCUUCUUCUCCUAUGCUUCCUUGUAAACAGAGACAAGUUAUAAGAAAACAAUGUUAGCCAAAUUUAAACGGCAAAAACUUUAAUUGGUAAAGAAUAGAAAUCAAUGGAGCUUAGAGAUCCUCAAGAGGGUGUCGAUAUCGUUGAACCACUUCACUUUUGAAAUCACUCUUAGUAGUGGUAUCUACAUCUUUUGUCCUUUC